This 69-nucleotide transfer RNA is filed under the name Bos taurus (domestic cattle). It matches the Rfam family "tRNA". From Rfam's summary of the family: Transfer RNA (tRNA) molecules are approximately 80 nucleotides in length. Their secondary structure includes four short double-helical elements and three loops (D, anti-codon, and T loops). The record is from Rfam by way of RNAcentral. Lineage: Eukaryota; Metazoa; Chordata; Mammalia; Artiodactyla; Bovidae.
CCUGGUGGUCCAGUGGCUUGGACUUCGCACUCCCAAUGCGGGGGGCACAGGUUCAAUUCCCUGUUCGGG